RNAcentral lists this ribosomal RNA (453 nucleotides) under uncultured bacterium. RNAcentral's name for it is "bacterial SSU rRNA". It matches the Rfam family "Bacterial small subunit ribosomal RNA", at positions 340 to 786 of the family's 1533-position model. The record is from RNAcentral.
UACGGGAGGCAGCAGUGGGGAAUAUUGCACAAUGGGCGCAAGCCUGAUGCAGCCAUGCCGCGUGUAUGAAGAAGGCCUUCGGGUUGUAAAGUACUUUCAGUCGUGAGGAAGGUGUUAAGGUUAAUAACCUUAGCAAUUGACGUUAGCGACAGAAGAAGCGCCGGCUAACUCCGUGCCAGCAGCCGCGGUAAUACGGAGGGUGCGAGCGUUAAUCGGAAUUACUGGGCGUAAAGGGCACGCAGGCGGUUAAUUAAGUUGGAUGUGAAAUCCCCGGGCUUAACCUGGGAAUGGCAUUCAAGACUGGUUAGCUAGAGUCUUGUAGAGGGGGUAGAAUUCCAUGUGUAGCGGUGAAAUGCGUAGAGAUGUGGAGGAAUACCGGUGGCGAAGGCGGCCCCUGGGACAAGACUGACGCUCAUGUGCGAAAGCGUGGGGAGCAAACAGGGAUUAGAUACC